Molecule: transfer RNA, 72 nt
Filed under: Urocitellus parryii (Arctic ground squirrel)
Lineage: Eukaryota; Metazoa; Chordata; Mammalia; Rodentia; Sciuridae
Also listed under: 2 other names
Description: Spermophilus parryii (Arctic ground squirrel) tRNA
Rfam family: tRNA
About the family: Transfer RNA (tRNA) molecules are approximately 80 nucleotides in length.
Source: Rfam by way of RNAcentral
GGGGAUGUGGUUCAGUGGUAGAGCAUAUGCUUAGCAUGUGUGAAGCCCUAGGUUUAAUUCCAGGCACCACCA